UUUAAGUGCAACCAUGAGUUUCUGUGUGCAACUUUGAUUACCCGUCUUAUUUGAAUUUUUCUUAUAAUUAGUAUUUUUAUUGUUAUAAGAUGAUAAAACAUAAAUAAUAAUUUAUGCGUGACUUAUGUUCUCAAAUUUUUUUAAAUAAGACGGAUGGUUAAAAUUGGGUACGGAAAAUUAUGGCUGCAUUUAUA
Molecule: non-coding RNA, 194 nt
Organism: Oryza nivara
Lineage: Eukaryota; Viridiplantae; Streptophyta; Magnoliopsida; Poales; Poaceae
Source: Rfam